GCAACUAAUCACUUUCUUUUUUUAGCAAAAACUAAUCACUUUCUUACCUCUCAAAGUUCCCUGACAAGACGGAAAUGUCACUGAUGAUAAACAGCAAUUGCAUAAAUGUAAUGUGCAAUACAAGUAACAUCAAAUUGUUGGCUUAAUUCUAUGAUUCUGUGUGCUGCUAAGUCAAAUCCCCUGUAGCCUAAUAUAAACUGACAGACUACCUUCACUUCAGUAGGCGAAAAAAAAAUGAUUAAACAAUUACAAUAGCCAGCCAUGGAUCUAAACCUGGGAACCUGACAAAAUUAAAAAUUCCAUGUAAGUCCCUAGGCAAAGAGACUGAAACUGCUUGUUACCUGGAUUCCUCCCAAUGAGGGGUCAAAUAAGGAAGGUGAAGGUAAUUAUAGGCGCACUCCCACCUCCUGCAAGCUACUUUACACAAUUUACAGACACAGCUGAGAUUAUUGCCCAUGGUAACACACUUAAAAAUGUUCAUGCUUAAUGCGUGCUUUUAUAAUUCCAGGAAUAGGCGGUGAGGUGGGUGGCCUAACUGGUGUGUUUGUUCCUGGGGAAGGAAGGAUUUGUUGUUGGAACAUGUUGGACAUGCUAGAACCUUCACCUCCAUCAGUAGCUUGAUUGGAUGCCAUAUCAUCACUCUGUGGUCUCUCGCAAAAUUUCAUUGCCUUAAGAACGUAAUUAUCAUCAUGCAGCUCAAAAGGAGUGCUAUUAAAGUCAAAAUGCACCAGCUGCAUAUCUUCUGAUAUUUCCACUUCAACAGUUGCAUGAGGGCGUGUCUGAACCAAAAUAAAGGGUAAGGACACACCCCCACUGGGAGUGUUUUCUGAGCUGUAUAGUUGCUCAUUUCGAUGUAUCAGGUUCUGAAGACCUACGUAUUGUUCCUCCAGUUCCUGCAAAUAGGCAGUUUUCUUCUCAAUUCUAUUUCUCAAUCCAAGACGCUCAGCCUUUAAUUCUUCAAUAUCACUCAGGCUGGUUCGAGGAAGACCUUUCCAUUGUAUUUCCUUUUUAUCCUUAGAUAUGAUAUCCAAUGCCAUGAGUACAUUCAGGGCAUCAUAUACUCUUCGCCGUAUGUUUUUCUCAUCAUAUUGUUGCUGCUUCAACAAAUGGAAAGGGACACCCACAUCAUUUAGUUGCACAUUUGACUCUAUGAAAAAGGGCAUAUCAUAUGCAUUAAAAUAAGCCAACGAAAUAAUUAUCACUCAAUUAUACAUAACCUGAUCUGGAGAUGAAACGCUGUUGCUAGGGUCAGCAAACUCAGCUACGAGUUCAUCUGCAACCUCAUUGUAAGUAGUUGUUCCUUUGCUUUCCACUUUUUCGCACACUUUCAUACUAAAUUGGCGGAGUCCUCUACCACUCUUAUCAGCUCCAGCUGCUCGCUGACCUCUCUUUUUCUUCUUAUUAGCAGCUGCAUCUUGGGUGGCCGCAUCGUCGGUGUGAAUGUCAAGAUGGUUCAACCUAAGAAAAGUGCUGUCACUGGCGGGCGUGGCCAUGGCCUGGUCGCUCCGGCUAGAAGGGGAACCAACGCUGCCGCUGGUUGAAACCGAUUGACCGGAGACAGUGGUGGUGCCCCAAGACCUGGUGGUACCAGCUCUAGAAACGGUGGCAGCGGGACGGCGGUGGUUUUUGUCCCCAUCAUCCCGGUGGGACCCACCAGUGACCAUUACAGAAAAAAGAAAGAAAAAUCAGAGUGGAAGAGUGGAUAAAGGUAGCGGUGGUAUUGGUUGAUGGGUUUUGGGGGGGUGGUGGAGUAGUGGAGGUUAUGGAUUGAAAUUGAAGAGAUUGGUGAUCUGAGAAAGUGGGGAAGGAAGACAAUAGAGAGAAGGUGGUUGUGCUAUUGUUUUCUUUGUUUGAGCUCUUGGAAAAGAGGGAAAUUUGAGGGUUUAGAAGAGUCUGUUUGCUACUUCUUG
This 1910-nucleotide unclassified non-coding RNA is filed under the name Hevea brasiliensis (rubber tree). Lineage: Eukaryota; Viridiplantae; Streptophyta; Magnoliopsida; Malpighiales; Euphorbiaceae. The record is from RNAcentral.